This 396-nucleotide ribosomal RNA is filed under the name uncultured bacterium. RNAcentral describes it as "bacterial SSU rRNA". It matches the Rfam family "Bacterial small subunit ribosomal RNA", at positions 505 to 898 of the family's 1533-position model. The record is from RNAcentral.
GUGCCAGCAGCCGCGGUAAGACGUAGGGCGCGAGCGUUGUCCGGAUUUAUUGGGCGUAAAGAGCUCGUAGGCGGCUCGUUGCGUCAAUCGUGAAAACCUACUGCUUAACGGUGGGCUUGCGGUUGAUACGGGCGGGCUGGAGUUCGGUAGGGGAGACUGGAAUUCCUGGUGUAGCGGUGAAAUGCGCAGAUAUCAGGAGGAACACCGGUGGCGAAGGCGGGUCUCUGGGCCGAUACUGACGCUGAGGAGCGAAAGCGUGGGGAGCGAACAGGAUUAGAUACCCUGGUAGUCCACGCUGUAAACGUUGGGCGCUAGGUGUGGGGGGCCUCUCCGGUUCUCUGUGCCGCAGCUAACGCAUUAAGCGCCCCGCCUGGGGAGUACGGCCGCAAGGCUAAA